Molecule: ribosomal RNA, 497 nt
Filed under: uncultured bacterium
Lineage: Bacteria
Description: partial 16S ribosomal RNA
Rfam family: Bacterial small subunit ribosomal RNA
Source: RNAcentral
GACGAACGCUGGCGGCGUGCCUAAUACAUGCAAGUUGAGCGCUGAAGGUUGGUACUUGUACCAACUGGAUGAGCAGCGAACGGGUGAGUAACGCGUGGGGAAUCUGCCUUUGAGCGGGGGACAACAUUUGGAAACGAAUGCUAAUACCGCAUAAAAACUUUAAACACAAGUUUUAAGUUUGAAAGAUGCAAUUGCAUCACUCAAAGAUGAUCCCGCGUUGUAUUAGCUAGUUGGUGAGGUAAAGGCUCACCAAGGCGAUGAUACAUAGCCGACCUGAGAGGGUGAGCGGCCACAUUGGGACUGAGACACGGCCCAAACUCCUACGGGAGGCAGCAGGAGGGAAUCUUCGGCAAUGGACGAAAGUCUGACCGAGCAACGCCGCGUGAGUGAAGAAGGUUUUCGGAUCGUAAAACUCUGUUGGUAGAGAAGAACGUUGGUGAGAGUGGAAAGCUCAUCAAGUGACGGUAACUACCCAGAAAGGGACGGCUAACUACGUG